RNAcentral lists this transfer RNA (50 nucleotides) under Hedycarya arborea. Its description in RNAcentral is "partial transfer RNA-Leu". The record is from RNAcentral. Lineage: Eukaryota; Viridiplantae; Streptophyta; Magnoliopsida; Laurales; Monimiaceae.
CUUUAGAAAUCGUGAGGGUUCAAGUCCCUCUAUCCCCAAUAAAAAGAAAA